UCUAAUACCGGAUACGAGCCUCCUGGGCAUCUGGGAGGUUGGAAAGCUCCGGCGGUGAAGGAUGAGCCCGCGGCCUAUCAGCUUGUUGGUGAGGUAACGGCUCACCAAGGCGACGACGGG
Molecule: ribosomal RNA, 120 nt
Filed under: Streptomyces filipinensis
Lineage: Bacteria; Bacillati; Actinomycetota; Actinomycetes; Kitasatosporales; Streptomycetaceae
Also listed under: 1 other name
Description: partial 16S rRNA
Rfam family: Bacterial small subunit ribosomal RNA
Source: RNAcentral